GACGGCCACAUGACGUUGAUACACCAGUUUCCGUACGAUCACCGAAGUUAAGCAACGUCAAGACUGGUCACUACCUAGAUGGGUGACCGCUUGAGAAUACCAAGUGUCGUAAG
Acanthosepion pharaonis is the source of this 113-nucleotide non-coding RNA. The record is from the annotation of a GenBank genome assembly. NCBI's taxonomy places the organism in Eukaryota, Metazoa, Mollusca, Cephalopoda, Sepiida, Sepiidae.